This 772-nucleotide long non-coding RNA is filed under the name Amborella trichopoda. RNAcentral's name for it is "long non-coding RNA (ATRI_LNC004609)". Lineage: Eukaryota; Viridiplantae; Streptophyta; Magnoliopsida; Amborellales; Amborellaceae. The record is from RNAcentral.
AUAGACAUGUGUGAAGGACACAUUGUAGCAAAGUGUUAAUAGCUUGACAUCCUUAUUCGUGAGGCAUCUACACUACUGUAGUAAAGCUUCCUAUGCGAACAAUACACCAGAAGAUUCAUAAAGCCCCUCUCCUUUAUGUUCUUCCAGCUAUCAAACAUAAUUGAGAACCUUCUUCUCUUCAACAUCCUGUUUAUUUUCAGCCUAUAAAUUGCCUCACCUUUCUUAUCUCAUCAUCUAAGUAGGCCCACUAAGGUCAGAUAUCAUCGGGGCAUACAACACUCGUUAUUGGCUAUGCUGUAGGGACACCAACAUCAUAAAAUCACUUAUUUGACCCGAGGGUCGGGCUAGGGCCAGCCUUCUUUUUUUUCUUGUUUUUUACUUUUACUUUUACUUCAUUUGUUUUUGGCCCGGAUCUGCCCUAGGAGGGCAGCCCUUCCCACCCUUGCCCCUUAUAGCCUUCUUAGAAUGUGCUGCAAAUCUCCUCGAUUAACCUUUCUUUGACUAUAUCUUUGCCAUUGUUAUAAUUUAAUGGAAAAAGUUUACAUAUAGUUGAGACCCUAAACAAUCAAAUUAAGACGCACUUCAAAAAUUCACUAGAAGAGGUUGUUUCGAUGUUGGAAAACCCUCAAAUUGAUCAUCUCGAUUUCAAGAUGUAUAUAAGUGAAAAAAAUAGAUUUAAAGUAUGGGAAAUAGUGCAUCUUAUAAUGAUUAUCUAGACCGUCAAUUUUCAAUACUUUCGAGUGUUUAUAGAUAUGCUCAAUCUACAUUAUUG